GGGGCUCGAUCCCAGGAGCCUGGAGCAUGAGCUGAGCCGAAGGCAGACACUUAACUGACUGAGCCACCAGGUGCCCCUUCAUUGGAAAUUUCUAAAGAAUCUUUUCAGUUUUGAGUUACUGCAAGGCUGAGGCUUCUAUCAAAGAGGAGGUUAAUACAGGAAUCAAGAGAAGAGUUAUUAUCAGCAGCAAUUUCUAACCAGGCAUGAUUCUUUGGCACCAAGAAGUACUGUUACUCAAGUACAAAGAAGUGUGGGUGGAAGAAGAUUUCUAUCCUGAGGCAGCAGUUCCGCUGGACUGACAACAGGGAGAGCCCCCAGAGGGGCUUUGCGUCAUUAAAUGUGUGCAAAACACCACAUGGAUACUGCUGAUCUCUACUUGUAAGAAGUCACAAGGAUAUUUCUGGAAUGGUGCACACUGGGAGCAGGCAAAGUGAUAAGGCUGUGAAGGCUGGGCUGAGCUAUCUGAAAAAAAGCUACUCGAAAACAUGUGAGGAAUUCAGGCACUCCAGGAAGACAAAUGAGCUCUCCUGGCUCUUCUAAGCAACAUCACAUUUCUUUGUUCAAGGGUCAGCCUGAAAAGGUUUCAGUGGCCACACUGUCACCUAAGAAGUCAGGACAGCUCUGCCACUGGGGCGCUCCACGGGGUGCAAUGCUGGCUGUUUAAAGUAAUUUAAUGGUUGUUUUUUUUUUUUGUGAA
This is a long non-coding RNA of Ailuropoda melanoleuca (giant panda), 697 nucleotides long. RefSeq lists it as uncharacterized. The transcript is spliced from 3 exons. Lineage: Eukaryota; Metazoa; Chordata; Mammalia; Carnivora; Ursidae. The record is from RefSeq and is a predicted model, not a curated record.